This 494-nucleotide ribosomal RNA is filed under the name uncultured bacterium. RNAcentral's name for it is "partial 16S ribosomal RNA". It matches the Rfam family "Bacterial small subunit ribosomal RNA", at positions 28 to 507 of the family's 1533-position model. The record is from RNAcentral.
GACGAACGCUGGCGGCGCGCUUAACACAUGCAAGUCGAACGGAAAGGCCUGCUUUCCCUUGUGGAUUGCGGGUACUCGAGUGGCGAACGGGUGAGUAACACGUGAGUGAUCUGCCCCCAACUUGGGUAUAAGCCUGGGAAACUGGGUCUAAUUCCCGAUAGGACUGCAGGGUGGUGCCUGUGGUGGAAAACGAUUUUCUAGUGGUUGGGGAUGAGCUCGCGGCCUAUCAGCUUGUUGGUGGGGUAAUGGCCUACCAAGGCGGCGACGGGUAGCCGGCCUGAGAGGGUGGACGGCCACAUUUGGACUGAGAUACGGCCCAGACUCCUACGGGAGGCAGCAGUGGGGAAUAUUGCACAAUGGGCGGAAGCCUGAUGCAGCGACGCCGCGUGGGGGAUGACGGCCUUCGGGUUGUAACCUCCUUUCGACCGCGAGGAAGCCACCUGGUUGGAAGGGUGGUGACGGUAGUGGUAGAAGAAGCACCGGCUAACUACGUG